AGAGGCCACAGCGCUGUGGUGAAGGGCACGAGUGCUCUGCGGAUGCCUGAGUUCAAAUCCCAGCUCAACCACAGAAGGAGCAGAGCGGGCCGCCUCUCCAAGCCCCUGCUCUCAUCUACAAAGAUAAAACCGCACCGCUCUCUCUGGACUGUCCUAAGAAAGAAACACAUUAAUGCAGGGCAGCCUCUUAUUUAUCCUUCCAGAUUCAGGCCAAAUGGCGCCUCCUCUGGGAAGCCCUCCUUGACCUUCUCAGGAAAAACGCACUGGGCUGUGAUAUUUCUGUUUGUGCGUCUGCUUCCCCGGGGAGACUGCUCUCCACAAGGCCAGAGAUCUCAUGGGGAAACUUCGAAGGCACUGAGAAUGGUGAAUGAACCAAUGACCACGUUUCACCGGCCAGUACUUCCAAACCGAAGUCACGAGGGAGAUGCUGAGGGUUCAGGCACUGCGAGGAGGCUCUGUGCAUGAUCCCCUCCAAGUCGCACAGCGGGGUGGCCAGAGACGCUAAAUAUGCGAACAACGUCACUCGGGCAGAGCAAGGAUCAUGUAGACACAGCGGCGGGGCAGCAACUCGCCCAGCAGUACCAAUCCCCGCAUCAACCUGAAUCAAGCUCCUCUCGAUUCUCCGCUCUAAAAAGCAAGCGAGGUGCAAGGCAAGCGACGUCCAGGUAAGCGGAUGCCACUGAAGGGUGCUCAGCCUGGGUAAUCUUUGUGACACCGCCGCGGCCGUGCCUCCUCUCUUUUGCCACAUUUUGGAGUGAGUCAUUUCAUAUAACUGGAUUUUUCAGAUGACUGAAGCCUAAACUUCUAAAACAUUUUAACCAUUUGGAAUGGAGUCAUUUCAGGAACGGACUACCCGCUUCCCCUGAACUCUUCAACUCUCCCUAUGGAAAGUGAGGCUGUCUUGAUGAGUCAGUAGCACCAUUAGGAACAAGUGGGCCUGCCCCGAGCCACAGCCCAGAGCUAAGAAAGAACUUUUAAAGGAAUCCUUUAUGAAAGAUUUCACCUCCUAGUUACUAAAAGAGAGACGACUAAUUGGCUUCCUAAGGAAACACAAAAGAACCUAAAAGUCACAUGCAUCAAAUUGUUACUUUUUACUAGGGUUCUGUUUUACAUCUAAAACAUUUUUUUUAAGUUUUGAGGACAUCCAUUACCACUUGAAGUGCCUAAAGAAGAAUCUGGUUUUGCCUCUUCCUAGGCAAAAUUCCUUGAUUUUGCAGAAACUUUGAUCCCUCAAUCUAUAAUUCCACUUCCUACCCUGAGAAGAAGUUAUGAGGGUUCAAUCACCUCCUAUCCACAGAAGCAUUAAGCUCAGAGUCUGGCACAUGUUAGGGUUCACUAAUUUCCAUCCUUCCUCCUGACUUUCAGUAACUGGGACCAAUGGGAUUAUAAAUGGAAAUGGGGAAAAUGAAAAUAUCAGUAGGGGUAAGGGGAAAAAAUGGUCCAAACAUUCUAGCCAAAAAUGGAAAUCGUCUUUAGUUAUACAUUGUAUAUGGUAACCCAUCUUAAACUUAUAUACAGGCUGUAUUACAGUAAUAUAUACAUGAAUUUUAAGGGAGAACAUUAUGUUUGCAGCUGUUAACUUUAAAAACAAAAGCCAUUUCACCCUCUUACACUACUGCUGGGAAUGUAAACUGCUGC
This is a long non-coding RNA of Hyaena hyaena (striped hyena), 1638 nucleotides long. RefSeq lists it as uncharacterized. The transcript is spliced from 3 exons. NCBI's taxonomy places the organism in Eukaryota, Metazoa, Chordata, Mammalia, Carnivora, Hyaenidae. The record is from RefSeq and is a predicted model, not a curated record.